AAAUUUUCAUACUAUGUAAGUAUAUUUGCACAUAAAGUGUUCGAUGUUUUGCUCAAGUGAAUUUGUUUUUUAUUGCAGUUUGUGGAGUACAGCAAGAUGAUAUACUUGGAUGGAGACAUACAGGUUUUUGACAACAUAGAUCACCUAUUUGAUUUGCCAAAUGCGUAUUUCUAUGCUGUGAUGGACUGUUUUUGUGAGAAGACAUGGAGUCACACCCCACAAUUCAAGAUUGGGUAUUGCCAACAGUGCCCGGAUAAGGUCCAUUGGCCUCAAGAAUUGGGUCUCAAGCCUCCUCUUUAUUUCAAUGCUGGGAUGUUUGUCUUUGAACCAAGUCUCCCCACCUACCAUGAUCUCUUGCACAAACUCAAAAUUACAACCCCAACUUCAUUUGCUGAGCAGGUAAUACAGAACAGCCAUUAAUCAGAAAAUUCCUUGACAAGUAUUUGUUUGAAACGAAAUUUAAAGUGUAUUAAAUGUCACAUUUGCAGGAUUUCUUGAACAUGUUCUUCAGGGAUAUUUACAAGCCAAUUCCCAAUAAUUACAACUUGGUUUUGGCAAUGAUGUGGCGCCAUCCCGAGAAUGUGAAGCUUGAUGAAGUUAAGGUGGUCCACUACUGUGCUGCAGGCUCCAAACCAUGGAGGUAUACUGGAGAAGAAGAAAACAUGGACAGAGAAGACAUCAAGAUGCUAGUCAACAAGUGGCGGGACAUUUAUAACGACGAGACAUUGAAUUACAACAGGGGUCCCGGUCGUAGUGCUAAAUCGACACCGGCGCUGCUUGAGGAGGCUGGUGUUGUUCAUUACAUCCCCGCUCCUUCGGCUGCUUAGUUUUGUCCUUUUGGUUGCUUAAUUAGGUUUUGAAUCUCAAAAGCUACUGAGUAAUUGAAUUGGCUCGAGUUUUUCAUGAAGCCAGUCCUCCAAGUAGCAUCUUUUUUCUUUUAUUUUUUUUAUUAGGGGAACGAAUUUAUGAAGUUCUCCUUGAUAUUGAUUGGAUUGUUGCUUUGUAAACAUUUAAAAAAUAUAUUUAUAUGAUAUUGUAAAUGUUACUCAAUGUUGUUAGGGAAAAUUCAUUGUAACCUUUCAUUGAGCAGGAUUUAAAAAUAUGAUAUUCAAAUAUGGAAUAUGAAUAAUUCGAUAAUAUCAAAAGUUGCCAUUGGCACUAAAAACGGUGAUGAAAACAGAGAAAAAUAUUCAGAGCAACCAUGGCUAGUAAUCAUAACAUUUUCGCAACCUUGGGUAAAGUUUGUAGUUUAGGAUUCAUUGGAAUUCUUCAGAUCUAAGUUCACCAGCAAACAAACAAUAUUUGGUAAACAAAGAUUUUCCUCAUCAUAAUUAUGUUUUAAUAAUUGUUGUUUUCCUGAAUAAUUCCUUGUAUACAAGGAAUUAUCUCACAGGGUCUUUACAAACCCUGAUAACCCCAUGUGAUUUUUAUUUAUUUAUUAUUUUUUAAAAAAUGAAUCACACAUCCCACCUGUCGUGUCUUUGUUUGUACCGACCCUGUGAAGUCCGAUCUUGUAUAUAUAGUGCGGUUGUAUUUUUCUUAAUAUUUCUUGCAUGGAAAACAAAGAGAAUUAUUUUGCCAAUUAUAAUAAACUCGUGUUUGGUAAAACAUUUUUCAAUUUUGAGUGGUUCAUUUUUUUUUUUAACCACACAUUUUAUUGGAAACAACAUGUAUAAUUUCAAAAAUCUUCGACAAGCAAGAGCUAAAGCAACAGGUUCAAUUACUGAUCACAACUACGGUUAAUAGUAAUUGGCAUGCAUUGAUGAGUGGAGGGAUUCUGAACAUCAUCAUUUAGUACAAUUCAACGUAACUAUUUUUAACAUUAAACAUUUUGCAUUACACAACUCUAAUACGAAGUAACAAGCGUGUGUUUGUAUAUAUAUAUAUAUAUAUAUAUAUAUAUAUAUAUGUACAUGUUGCUUCUCUUGCUUUAUCCCUCUUACAUUCUUUUAUUUUCCAUAUUUUCAUUACUUAUUUUUCAUUCUUCUACGGUAAAUGAAGAUUGAAAACAUCCAUUUUACAAGACAACUGUAGUAUAAGGAUUAAAAAAUGAAAUUAAAAAUAAUUGAGCAGCUUGAGUUUGCUCGAUAUAUUUAAUAGUAUUUUAUAAUGUCACACAUUAACAAUCCUAAUGUCGUACAAUUUUAUAUUAAAAACAGUCAUUCUAUAGACUACACAUAUACUUGGAUACAAGAAGUCUAAUACAAUUGAUGUACAGAAACUGAACAUAAAUGCAUUGAAGUUGUAUGUAACUUCAUCUCCAACAAAUAGACACUGCAUAUAUUAAAAAUUAGAAUUUUGCUAUUUGUCCGGAUUUUUUUGUCCGAAUGGUUAACAUCCUCUAUAAUGCCGUGGAUUCGGCAUAAGUAAAAAAGUCCAAAAAAAAAAAAGUGGGGCCCCGCCAUUGUGAGAGUCGGUCACCUCCUCCGUCAAAAAAAUUUGAGUACUGUAGCGGAAUUGUUAUUUGGGUUACUACAAAGUAAAUGCAAUUUCUUGUAUAAAAUUUGAUCCAAUUUUUUUGGGCCAUUUGCAAAAUAGCGUCGGGUCGCCAAAAUGAGGUAAGGAUUAGUAGUAAAGUCAAAUAGUGAGCAGUGAGUCAAGUUUGAUGAGUCGUUGCUUCCUUCCAACCAUUAAUUGUUAAUAUUAUCCUAAAUUAAUUAUCUUUUUCUUAUCCUAAACUUUUUUAGACUUUUAGACCAACAAAACUAGAAAUAUUGAACAAACGCAGCAGCACACGUUUAGUGGGUCCGUUCAAUGAUUAACUAGUCUAAGACACGCCUGGGACAUAUCUCAGUGGUGCAAAGGACAGGAAUAAGUUAGUCUCAAUCUUGCUGACAGUCGCAAUUUGAGAGUUCGAUUCAUGAGAUAUGAAAUUGAACUCUUUGUGGAUAUCAGUGUACAGGAAAGCUCUUAUCCCCUGGCCUGCUGAGGCAUAUCCCAUUAUUUACCUCCCUCACGAUACUCCAAUGACAGAAUGGUGAGGACCUUCAAGAUUGAGGUUCAAUCUUAACUAGUCUAAGACACAAUAUAGUCGGCUACGGUUGCAAUUUAGUCAACCUUUUAUUAGGAACGAAACAUGUACCUAACUUCAAUAAACAUUUAUUAUUUAUAAUAGUACUGCUGAAAGCACCGUUUUGAAUGAAGUAUCAAAUUUAUAUAAUUGUCAAUUUAUUUCACAUCCGUGUAGGUGAAAGCACUAGUGACAUUAGGGUUGGACAAAAUUCUCGAACCAAGUCGAUUAAAUCAGAUCCGACUCAAAUUGAAUCGAAUCGAAUGGUUCUUCUUAAAUUAAAUACCCGAAUGAGUAUCUAAAUUAAGAACUAACGAGUUUGGUUCGAUUUUCAGUUCUAGAUCAUGAAAUGAAGAAACGUAUAAAAAUCGAAUCUCCUUAAAUUUUUAAUUUAUUUAUUUUAAAUAAGUCAAAUUAUUUUAUUUUUUCUAAAUAAAUCUACUAACUAAUUAAUUUAAAUCAAAAUAAGAAAUAUGAUUUUUCUAUUUUUAAUUUCAGUUCAAGUCCAAUUUAAUCAAAUUGAUAUAAGUUUUACUCAAAUCUGUCAUUCUAUCGUAGUACCGUUUCUACCAUUCUAGAGAAAUCAAAUUAAAGCCUCACGACACCUAUCUUUAUUAUUGUGAGUUCGGUAUCUUCAUUUUCACGUGAUUUUGACAAUCAAAUUUAUAAAGCACUUAUCAAAGAGAUACGUAAAAGAUAUAGAAGAUUGGACUACGUUAUUUUGUAAGAAUUAAAAUUGAACGUGUCAUUAGUUGAAUUAAUGUAACUUUGUAAAUAUAAUAAAAUUUAAUUAUAGUAGAGAACUUGGGAAUCGAAUUGAACUGAAUGGAACCGAGCUCUAACGGUUCCAUAAUUAAAUUUGGACCGACGAUUUCACUUACUAAAUACCCGAAAUUUUUGGGUCCAAUCGGAUCAUAUCCUGCCCUAAGUGACAUUAAAUUACAUGUUCAGUUAUAAAUACAAUGAAUUAUGACACAUUGGUACUAGAUAAACUCAAGUGGCAAUUAAGUGCCAUUGAGUACAACUAAAUGGUGAAAAGGUGUCAUUACGAAAAAUUGCCAUGGAAACUAAGAGCGGACAUGAUGUGGUUCAUCCAGUUCCAAUAAAAGUUAGACAUUAUCAAACUCCAAUCGAUAUCUACUAAUAAUACCAAAAUGGUUCUACGUACUCUAUCAGAAAACAAAAAACAAAUGAACAAGAAUUCAACGCUUUGCCCUCGGAGAUGAAUUUUGGACGGAGUUGUGUAACUAAUAGGCGUUUAGAUUCGGGACCUCCGAAUGGCAGAAGAGCAUUGUGCUUAGCAUACUGAACUCAAUUGAUUAAUUUCGAUUCAAUCUUUUAAGUGCGAAAUUUGAGUCCAUACAUCAUCCUUUGACACAUCUAUUCUUGUUUUAUCCACUUUUCUUAUUACAAUUUUGCUAAAUAAAAAGAAUGAGACGGUGCUUCCAACCAUUGGUUAUUUCUAUUAUCCUUAAUUAUCUUUUUCUUAUCCUAAAUGUUUCAAAGUUUAGACCGGCUAACAAAACUAGAAAUUACUUGUUAAAAAAAAAAUAGAUAUGUGGGAACAAUUGAGCUAAAGAAGGUGAUUUAUUGACACGUGGAAAAUCAUUAGAAAUUACACACGCUUUGUGGGUCCUAUUUAAUGGUUAAAUAGUCGAACUGAGGUGGUUGCAAUUUAAUAAAACUUUUAAAAUUCUUUGCUAAGACAUGCAUCCAGCUUUAGGCCCCGUUUGAUAAUUGAUUUUUUGACCGUUAAGAAAAAAGUGGGAGUCACCUGUGAAAGAAGAAGUCAAACUUUACGGCUAAAAUAGUGAAAUAACAAUAAAAAAAUCAAUUUUUUUAAGUGAAAAAUCACUCUCAAACGGCCCCUUAAUAAACAUAUAACUAUUUAUUUAGAGGAAUGUACAUACAAAAUUUACAUAUUUGUAUUAUUUAAUUUUAUAUACACUUUAACGGUUAAGUGAAAACUAUAAUAACGAGAUCAAAAAAUUAUAAUAGUGAGAAAAUUAUGUAAUGUUAUAACAAUUGAGCUCAAAACUUGAAUGCUAAUUAUGUGUCGCUAAGUAAAAUUACACGAACAAAUGAAAAUUCACUUGAUAUUGAAUGUAAAAUUGUCACCACAUAAAUUUUGCUAUAAUAAUUGGAAGUGUACAUUGUUCGAUAAGGGUCUUUUUUCAAUAAAAAAAUUAAGAACUGAACUAGUCAAAUACAAAUUGAAAUCUCGCGAAUAUCUAUUAAUAAUUAACAUAAAUUAGUUCAGUAGUUGAUUUAGUGAAUGUUUGGUUGGUGUUGAAGUAAUAAUUUUAGCAAUUAUAAAUUGUAGUUUUAAUAGAAUUAAUGAAUAAUAAGUUAAUAGUAAUUAUGAAUCAAACAAACGCUUGUUUGAAUUUCAUUAUAAUAUAUGUAUCUAUUAAUAUUCAUUUAUUAUUUACAUAUUUCGUGAGACACAUUACUCAUUUUCACUGUAAUCACAUUACAACUUUUUUUCAAAUCAAAAGUAUUUAUGUUUGACUAAAAGUGAUUAUAUAAUAAAUCACCAACAAUUUAUGUAAGUAAUUGAAACAUUAGACUCUUUAAUAUCCAAUUUUAAAAUGCAGGAUUACUAAAUUUUAUCGAGACAAUCUAAAAUCGAAUUGGCUCGAGUUUUUCGUGAAGCCGAUUCUCCAAGUAGCAACUUUUUUCUUUUCUUCUUUUAUCAGGGGAAUGAAUUUGUAAAGUUCUCCUUGAUAUUAAUUUCUUGGAUUGUUGCUUUGUAAACAUUUAAAAAUUAUAUUUAUAUGAUAUUGUAAAUGUUACUCAAUGUUGUUGGGGAAAAUCCGUCGUAACCUUUCAUUGAACAGGAUUAAAAAAUAUGAUAUUCAAAUGUGGAAUAUGAAUGUCAAAAGCUGCCAUUGGCACUAAAAACGGUGACGAAAACAGAGAAAAAUAUUCAGAGGAACCAUGGCUAUUAAUCAUAACAUUUUCCCAACCUUCGGUAAAGUUUGUAGUUUAGGAUUCAUUCGAAUUCUUUAGGUCUAAGUUCACCAGCAAACAACAAUAUUUGGUAAACAAAGAUUUUCAUAAUUAUGUUUUAAUAAUUGUUAUUUUCCUUAAUAUUUCUUGCACUGAAAACAAAAGAGAAUUAUAGCCAAUUAAAAUAAACUCCUGUUUGGUAAAACUUUUUUCAAAUUUUGAGCAGUUCAUUUUUUUUUUUAACCACACAUUUUAUUGCACCCAACAUGCAUAAUUUCAAAAAGAGUAAUGUUAUUUAUAGUCGCUCACUGUCACAGAAACCCUAUAUGGUAUACACGUAACAGAUAGUGAUUUGACAUUAAAUCACUAACCAUCACGUGUAUGCCAUCUAGGAUAACUAUAGUAGUGAAUGACUGUAAAUAACAUUAAUCUUUCAAAAAUCUUUGACAAACAAUAGCUAAAGCAAUAUGUUCAAUUACUGAUCACAAGUACAGUUAAUAGUGAUUGGCAUGCAUUGAUGAGUGGAGGGACUCUGAACAUCAUCAUUUAGUACAAUUCAACAUACCAAUUUUUAACGUUAAACAUAUUGCAUUACACAACUCUAAUACGAAGUAACAAGCAUGUGUUUGUAAGCACGCAUAAGGACUUGAAACACGAAGUAACAAGCAUGUGUUUGUAAGCACGCAUAAGGACUUGAAACACUAAUCUCAUCCUCGAGUCCUUAGUAUCAUCCUUUAGCAUCAUAUAUAUACAUCUAGCUUCUCUUGCUCUAUCCCUUUUACAUUCUUUUAUUUUCCAUAUUCUUGUUACUUAUUUUUCAUUCUUCUGCGCUAAAUGAAGAUUGAAAACAUCAAUUUUACAAGACAACAGUAGUAUAAGGAUUAAAAAAUGAAAUUAAAAAUAAUUGAGCAACCUGAGUUUGCUCGGUAUAUUUAAUAUUAUUUUAUAAUGUCACACACUAACAGUCCUAAUAUCGUACAAUUUUAUAUUAAAAACAGUCAUUCUAUAGACUACACAUAUACUUGGAUACAAGAAGUCUAAUACAAUUGAUGUACAGAAAUUGAACGUAUAUAUAUUGAAGUUGUAUAUGACUUCAUCUCCAACAAAUAGACACUGAAUAUAUUAAAAAUUAGAAUUUUGCUACUUAGCCCGAAUGGUUAAAAUCCUUUCACAUGUUGUGGGUCUCACGUGAGUAAAAAAGUCCCAAAAAAAGUGGGGCCCCCGCUAUUGUGAGAGUCGGUCACUUCCUCCGUAAAAAAAAUUCGAGUACUAUAGUGGAAUAAUGCAAUUUCUUGUAUAAAAUUUGAUCCAAUUUUCUUGGGUCAUUUGCAAAAUAGUGUCGGGUCGCCAAAAUGAGGUAAGGAUUAGUAGUAAAGUCAAAUAGUGAGCAGUGAGUCAAGUUUGAUGAGUCGUUGCUUCCUUCCAACCAUUAAUUGUUAAUAAUAUCCUAAAUUAAUUAUCUAUUUCUUAUCCUAAACUUUUUUAGACUUUCAGACCAACUAACAAAACUAGAAAUAUUGAACGAACGCAGCAGCACACGCUUAGUGGGUCCGUUUAAUGGUUAACUAGUCUAAGAUGUGAUAUAGUCGGCUACGGUUGCAAUUUAUUCAACCUUUAAUUAGGAACGAAACAUGUACCUAACUACAAUAAACAUUUAUUAAUUAUAAUAGUACUACUGAAAGUACCGUUUUCAAUGAAGUAUCAAAUUUAUUUAAUUGUCAAUUUAUUUCACAUCCGUGUCGGUAAAAGCACUAGUGACAUUAGGGUUGGAUAAAACUUUCGAAUCGAAUCGAUUGAAUUUGAUCCGACUCAAAUUGAACCGAAUUGAGCAAUUCUUUUUAAAUUAAAUACCCAUUCGGGCAUUUAAAACGAGAACCGACGAGUUGGAUUCGAUUCUCAAUUCUAGAUUAUGAAACGAAGAAUCGAAUCUCCCUAAUUUUCUAAUUUAUUUAUUUUAAAUAAGUCAAAUUAUUUUUUUUUUAAAUAAAUCCGCUAACUAGUUAAUUUAACUCAAAAUAAGAAAUAUGAUUUUCCUAUUUUUAAUUUUCAAUCCAAGUCCAACUUAUAUAAAUUUUACUCAAACCUGUCAUUCUAUCAUAGUACCGUUUCUACCAUUCUGAAUAAAUCAAAUUGAAGCCCGAUGACACCUAUGUUUAUUAUUGUGAGCUCGGUAUCUUUGGGUCCAACCGGACCAUGUUCUACCCUAAGUGACAAUAAAUUAUAUGUUCAAUUAUAAAUACAAUGAAUUAUAAUAUAUUGGUACUAGAUAACAUUGUUCUAUAGAGAAAUGAGAUAGUGUUGCUACGUUGAGCUCAAAACUCAAGUGGCAAUUAAGUGCCAUUGAGUACAACUAAAUGGUGAAAAGGUGUCAUUACGAAAAAUUGCCAUGGAAACUAAGAGCGGACAUGAUGUGGUUCAUCCAGUUCCAAUAAAAGUUAGACAUUAUCAAACUCCAAUUGAUAUCUACUAAUAAUACCAAAAUGAUUCUACGCACACUGACAGAAAACAAAAAACAAAUGAACAAGAAUUCAGCGCUCUACCCUUAGAGAUGACUUCUGGAUGGAGGAGUGUAACUAAUAGGGGUUUAGAUUCGGGACCUCCGGAUAUCGGAGAACCAGUGUGCCUAGCGUACCGAACUCAAUUGAUUAAUUUCGAUUCAAUCUUGUAAGUGCGAAACUUGAGUCCAUACAUCAUCUUUUGACAUAUCUAUUCUUGUUUUAUCCACUUUUCUUAUUACAAUUUUGCUAAAUAAAAAGAAUGAGACGGUGCUUCCAACCAUUGGUUAUUGCUAUUAUCCUUAAUUAUCUUUUUCUUAUCCUAAAUGUUUCAAAGUUUAGACCGGCUAACAAAACUAGAAAUUACUUGUUAAAAAAAAAAAAAAAUGAUAGAUAUGUGGGAACAAUUGAGCUAAAGAAGGUGAUUUAUUGACACGUGGAAAAUCAUUAGAAAUUACACACGCUUUGUGGGUCCUAUUUAAUGGUUAAAUAGUCUAACUGAGGUGGUUGCAAUUUAAUAAAACUUUUAAAAUUCUUUGCUAAGACAUGCAUCCAGCUUUAGGUCCCGUUUGAUAAUUGAUUUUUGACCUUAAGAAAAAAGUGGGAGCCACCUGUGAGAGAAGAAGUCAAACUUUACGGCUGAAAUAGUGAAAUAACGGUCAAAAAAUCAAUUUUUUUAAAUGAAAAAUCACUCUCAAACGGCCCCUUACUAAACAUAUAACUAUUUAUUUAGAGGAAUGUACAUACAAAAUUUACAUAUUUGUAUUAUUUAAUUUUAUAUACACUUUAACUGUUAAGUGAAAACUAUAAUAACGAGAUCAAAAAAUUAUAAUAGUGAGAAAAUUAUGUAAUGUUAUAACAAUUGAGCUCAAAACUUGAAUGCUAAUUAUGUAUCGCUAAGUAAAAUUACACGAACAAAUGAAAAUUCACUUGAUAUUGAAAGUAAAAUUGUCACCACGUAAAUUUUGCCAUAAUAAUUGGAAGUGUACAUCGUUGGAUAAGGGUCUAUUUUUAAUUAAAAAAUUAAGAACUGAACUAGUCAAAUACAAAUUGAAAUCUAGCUAAUAUCUCUUAAUAAUUAACAUAAAUUAGUUCAAUGGUUGAUUUAGUGAAUGUUUUGUUGGUGUUUAAGUAAUAAUUUUAGCAAUUAUAAAUUGUAGGUUUAAUAGAAUUAAUGAGUAAUAAGUGAAUGAUAAUUAUGAAUCCAACAAACGCUUGUUUGAAUUUCAUUAUAAUAUAUAUAUACACUCUCCUUUUCACUGUAAUCACAUUACAACCUUUUUCAAAACAAAAGUAUUUAUGUUUGACUAAAAGUGAUUCUAUAAUAAAUCACCAACAAAUUCUUUAUGUAACAGGGACAUUAGACUCUUUAAUAUCCAAUUUUAAAAUGCAGUGUUAUAUAGCACUUUUUUUUUUCUUCGCUCUCCCAUCUUUCAAAUCCACACAUUAUAUAAAUAUUCGUACAUGGACUUCGAGACUAUUGUUAUACAUUUUUUAACAGAAGCCCUAGAUGGGUCUCACGUAGUAGUCCCACAUGGACAAAGUCCACAUGUGCGGACUCGCAGCCGCACCCUCGUGACAAGCCCAUAUUAUAGUUGAACUCAUGUGGUCGGACCCCUCAGGAAAGGGGGGCGAGGUUCUUUAGCAGAAGACUCUCCAAAAUCAAAUAUAUUGAAAUGAUGGAUGUGACACCUCCCUGCCAUCGUCGCUACAGUCAAUCUCUUUGGCCAAAUUUACUGCCACUGGCUACAAACUUAUGAAAGGAGAGUAGGUAUUAGCAUUAAUAUUUUGUGAUCGAUUGAUGCCCAUGAUGGGAAGCUAUACUCACAUGGAUGAGGCCACAUGUCUUAUCAUCCGAUGGUCCAUACUCGUUACCUCAUGCCAUAAAAGUUCACACUUAGUGUCAUUUAAAAGUAAUGCAAGUGUAGACUUUGAUAGCAUAAUUCAGCUUUUCAUUUUUCCUAAGAUCGACCCCCUUUAUUCUGCAUUGGAGACUCACAUCAAAGUCCUCCCACACUCAAUAUACAUUUUCUCCAACUAAUUUGAUCAUCGAAGUGCACGCGACCGUUUCCACCCCCAUCGAAAAGGGCCACAUGAGUCUAACAGGUUGCCUUAGUGUCUAGGAACACGACUUGUUUGAACGCGAGAAGUCUUGGAAUCUUAGAAUCUGUUGGCCACGUUAGGGGUGCAUCUUUUGAGGUCAACAUGCAGGAUUAAUAAAAUUUUAUUGAAACGAUAACUAAAUAUUUAUCAUUACUAACUAUUUAUUUACCCAUACAUUAAGGCACUGUUUGUGGCCCUUUAAUUUCAAAAAUUGGAGUGUGGAAUAGUGAUUGAUGUUGACAUGUGUGGUUGAAAUUUUUUUUAUUUAUAUAUAAUAUUAUUUUAAUAAAGAAUAUGUGGUUGAAAAUGAAUAUUGUAGAAAAAAUAAUGUGAUAGAAUGUGGGAGAAUGAUUGACAAACAAGGGCUAAGUUAAAUCCAUUGGCCGUUUUCUUUAAAAAAAACAUUUAGGCCCUGUUUGAUAGUUAGAAAUUUUCCAUGGAAAAUAGAAAAUAAAACUCAUUUUUCAUCUUUUGGCAGUUUAAUACCCUUUUUUCCCCAAGAAAUUCAUUUUCUUGGUUGUCUGGGGAAGCAGCAAUUUUCUAGGUUUUCCUCGAAUUAUAGGCCACUGUAGCGAUUUUAUUUUUUUUAAUUUUUUUUUACAAUGGAAACAAAUUUUAAGAAUUAUUGUAAAAAAAAUAUUUCUCUUUAAUUGACAAUUUUCAUGUAAAAUAAAGUCAAGCGAACACCAAAAGAUAGAUAUUUUCUUCAAUUUUUUUCUGGCAAAGAAAACAAAUUUCAUCUCAAUACCAGCAAAUUUCAACCAUUUGAUUGACAAUUUUCAUAUAAAACAAGCUCAAACGAACAUCAAAACAUACUUUUAUUUCAACCUUUUUUCACAUAAAAAAUUAUAUUAAUCAAACACGAUAAUUUAAAAUUUUCAAGAAAACAAUUUCUAGAUAUUUUAAUUUUCUAAAAUUCAUUUUAUUUCUAUCCAAAUUUAUCUUUGCAAUCAAACAUACGGUUAUAAUUUCCCCCAAAAAAAGAUAAAUGGGGACUCAUAUGAUUUUCUAGACUUUUUCAGUAAGUAGCCCCGUCCAUGAAGCUCCGGGCCAUGUGCAAACUUCAUUUUCGUUUGGUAUAAAAUAUUAUUUUUUCAACUACGAAAUGACGUCAUACGAUGUCGGCAAAAACUUGUCCUUAUUAGAUUACUCCACGUACUGUUACAUUUCAUUUUCCAUGCAAUACAUUAGUGACACCUACUCUCUAUCUCUCUCUCUCUCUCUCUCUCUCUCACUAACAGUUUUUUUUAAUCUUCGCCAGCUCUAUAUAACAGGUAGCCAUACCAGCUUUAAGGAUUCACAAAAUCAUCACACAACCUUGUAGCAAAACAAACAAAUACAUUCAAAAAACCCACCUGUUUUCAAUUAGUUCUCCAGUUAUUUACUCCCUUAGUUGCAAAAAAUUCAUAAAAUGGCUCGUGAUAUUCUCACCAGGACCGGCGCCGUUGGUGGUCUAGUUAAGGCCGCCAGUUUGUCUAGCCGUGCCUAUGUCACUUUCUUGGCAGGCAACGGAGACUAUGUGAAAGGAGUCGUGGGCUUGGCCAAGGGAUUGAGGAAAGUGAACACUGCGUACCCACUUGUGGUGGCUGUUCUACCGGACGUUCCGGAGGAGCACCGCCAGAUAUUGAUCAACCAGGGUUGCAUAGUGCGGGAAAUUGAACCGGUUUAUCCUCCGGAGAAUCAGACCCAGUUUGCCAUGGCUUAUUAUGUCAUCAACUACUCCAAGCUUCGGAUUUGGGAGGUAAAAAUCCUUGAAUUUUCUAGAAUCCAAUGGUCAUACUAUGCAAGUAUAUUUUGCACAUCAUAUGUUUGAUGAGAUGCUCAACAGAAUUAGUUUUUAAUUGCAGUUUGUGGAGUACAGCAAGAUGAUAUACUUGGAUGGAGACAUACAGGUGUUUGACAACAUAGAUCACCUCUUUGAUUUGCCAAAUGAGUAUUUCUAUGCUGUGAUGGACUGUUUUUGUGAGAAGACAUGGAGUCACACCCCACAAUUCAAGAUUGGGUAUUGCCAACAGUGCCCAGAUAAGGUCCAUUGGCCUCAAGAAUUGGGUCCUAAGCCUCCUCUCUAUUUCAAUGCCGGCAUGUUUGUCUUUGAACCAAGUCUUCCCACCUACCGUGAUCUCUUGCGCAAACUCAAGAUUACAACUCCAACUUCAUUUGCUGAGCAGGUAACAACACAGCCAUUAAUCAGAAAAUUCCUUGACAGGUAUUUCUAUGAAAUGAAAUUUAAAGUGUAUUAUAUGUUACGUUUGCAGGAUUUCUUGAACAUGUUCUUCAAGGAUAUUUACAAGCCAAUUCCCAGUAAUUACAACUUGGUUUUGGCAAUGCUGUGGCGCCAUCCCGAGAAUGUGAAGCUCGAUGAAGUUAAGGUGGUCCAUUACUGUGCCGCAGGCUCCAAACCAUGGAGGUACACUGGAGAAGAAGAAAACAUGGACAGAGAAGACAUCAAGAUGCUAGUCAACAAGUGGCGGGACAUUUAUAACGACGAGACAUUGAAUUACAAAAGGGUUCCCGGCCGUAAUGCUAAAUCGACACCGGCGCUGCUUACGGAGGCUGGUGUUGUUCAUUAUUUCACCGCCCCUUCGGCCGCUUAGUUGGUCCUUUUGGUUGCUUAAUUCGGUUUUGAAUCUCGAAGGCUACUGAGUAGUUGGAUUAGUUCAGUUUUACAUGAAGCUGGUCCAUUUUUUUCUUGUUCUUUUUAUUUCAGGGAACGAAUUUAUAAAGUUCUCCUUCACGCAGCUUUAAUUGCUGCUUUGUGAACAUUUUAAGAAUGUAUAAUAUGAUCUUUGUAAAUAUUAUUCGAUGUUGUAAACUUUUCAUUGUAUCGCAACCUGACAUUGAACAAGAUUAUAAAAUACAAUAUUCAAAUACAGAGUAUGAAUUGUUCAAUAAUGUCAAACCUUGUUUUUAGCCAUAAAAAACAAGAACGUGCAAAAACAGAAAAAUAUUCAGAGCAGUUAUGGCGUUAUUAACCAUAACAUUUUCCCGUCCUUUUGGUGAAGGUUGUGGUUUUAGGAUUUGACAUCCACUUCCCACAAAUUUGUUGGUUUGUUGGAAUUCUUUAGGUCUAACUGCACCAGCAAUCAACGAUCUUUAGUCGACAAAUAUUUGUUAUUUUACUUCAUUUUUCUUACCCAGAAAACAGAGAGAACUAUUUUCUUACCCAGAAAACAGAGAACUAUUUUCUUACCCGGAAAACAAAGAGAAUUAUUUUGCCAAGUAAAAUUACUCGUUUGAUGAACUUUUUUCAGAUUUUAAGGGGACCAAGCUAUAUGUUCAUCAUACAUUUCAUUGUUCCCCCACAAUUUUUAUUCAGAUUUUAAUCACACAUUUCAUUGGAACCGUCAUUUAUAAUCUCAAAAAUUUUCGUCAAGCUAAAGCAGCAAAGUUCAAUUGUCAAUAACAAUUACCAUCGAUAGUGAUUGUCAUCCAUUGGUGAAUAGAGGGACUAGGAACCUCAUUUAGUACAAUUCAACAUACCUAUUGCCAUUGCCACUGUCACACAUUUUAUUAUCGGAUUUAGGUACUUCUAAACCUCGCUCAAUCUCGACUAGAUGGCGUAUGUCUUACUGUAUGAGAUUGGAAGGCUUAGGGACCCAACCGGUGGAAGAAACUGUAGGCUCCAUCCAUCAUAGAACCAUUCUCAACCAAAUGUAAAUGUGGGGAGAUAAUUGGGGCAUGAUUUUGGCAAUUAUUCACGUCCCUAAGACGAUGCAAUUGGGACAUGAUUUUAGCAGUUAUUCACGUCCCUAAAAUGAUGAAAAAUAUGGACCACAUCUAGACCUUCAUGGAAGAAAAAACUAACAUUCUCCUCCUUGGUCCAUAUAUUCCAUCGUUCACCAUAGUAAGAAACAAAAUACAUGAAUCAUGGAGAUAGGCUCUCUAAGUACGAGUAUUAUCUUCCAUGUAUCACAAUACACCAUGUUUCUUAAACAUUAACCCAAAUUUCUUAAUGAAUAAACCAUAUGUUUAUUCUAGAUCCAAAUAUCAAUGAUAUUUCUCAAUAUUGAUGUGUACACAAGGAAAACCAAAUAUGAGAAAAUAUCACAAACAGAAUUUCAUAAACAUUCGUUCUUACAACGAAAAUCACAUAGAGAAACCAAGUCUUAUUUUAUCUACAUAAUCCUUAAAUCUUAAUGGUGGCAUGACUUUUGUCAAAGGAUCGACAAUUAUUAAUUCAAUAUUAACGUGUUCAAUGACCAUUAUUUUCUCUUGUUCUAUCCCUCUGACGUUCUUCUAUUUUUCGUAUUCUGGAUUACUUAUAUUUUUCUCUAUUACGCUAAAAGAAGAUUUGAAAUCAUCCAUUUUACAAGACAAUAGUGUAGUGCAAGGAUUAACAAAUGAAAUUAAAAAUAAUUGAGCAACCUAAAUUUGCUCUGUAUUUCACAGUGUUUAUAAUGUCACAUAUGAAUAGUCCUAAUGUCAUACGAUUACAUAGUAAGAGCAAUCAUGCUACACCUUCAUUUGGAUAGAAGUUUAAUACAAUUGAUGUACAAAACGUCAACGUAUCAAGGUUGUAAUGAAGAUGUAUAUAAUUUCAUCUCAAACAAAUAGACACUAAAUAUAUUAAGUCAUUAUUUGGUGGUUAUUAAAAUCAAAUUUUUAGUAGAUUUUGCUAGAAGUUGAUUAAAUGCGUUGUUGAAAAAUUGUGAGUUCCAUAAAAUAUAAAGUUAAAAUUAAAUGUUGACUUCAACUUGGAUUAAAAUCUUGACCAAAAAUUAUUUGGGUUACUAGAAAGUAAAUGCAAUUUCUUCCAUAAAAAAUUGAUCAUCCACCGUCCAAUUUUCUUGGAUCAUUUGCAAAGCAGCAUUGGGUCGCCCAAAAAAGUCAAAGAGUGAGCAGUGAGUCAAGUUGAUGAGUCGGUUUGCUUCCUUCCGACCGCAUUAAUCAUUAAUAAUAUCCUAAAUUAGGGCCCGUUUGGUAGGAAUUUUGAGAAUUAAUUUUUUGACCGUUAAAAGAAAAGUAGGGUCCACAUGUGAGAGAAGAAGUCAAAAAUUACGGCUUGAAUAGUAAAAUAACGAUCAAAAACAAAAAAUUGAUUUUUUGAGGCAAAAAAUCCCUACCAAACGGGGCCUUAAUUGUCUUUUUUCUUAUCCUAAACGUUUUUCUUUUAGGCUCUUAGUCCAUUUAAGACAUCUGUAACCUGAGUGGGUCCGUUUCCAUUUGGUCGGCUAUUAGUUGCGAGGAAAUAGGAGUGAAAGCAUUUAACGUUUUUGAUAAAGUGUGUCUANNNNNNNNNNNNNNNNNNNNNNNNNNNNNNNNNNNNNNNNNNNNNNNNNNNNNNNNNNNNNNNNNNNNNNNNNNNNNNNNNNNNNNNNNNNNNNNNNNNNNNNNNNNNNNNNNNNNNNNNNNNNNNNNNNNNNNNNNNNNNNNNNNNNNNNNNNNNNNNNNNNNNNNNNNNNNNNNNNNNNNNNNNNNNNNNNNNNNNNNNNNNNNNNNNNNNNNNNNNNNNNNNNNNNNNNNNNNNNNNNNNNNNNNNNNNNNNNNNNNNNNNNNNNNNNNNNUUUUUUUUUUUUUUUUUUUUUUUUUUUUUUUUUGCAAUGUAUAACUUUAUUUAAUGAUUUAAUAUUGUUGAGGGAGAAUCAAAAUAUGUAGAAAUUAUGUAGCACUGUGACAAUUGAUCUCAAAAUUCAAAUGCUAGUUCUGUGUCAUCAAGAACAAAUUUUAUAACAAAAAUUUGCUAUGGCAAUUUGUGAUGAACGUUAUAUGAUUCAUCCAAAUCUGGUGAGAAUUAAACUUUAUCGAACAAAGAUUUAUAUACCUCGAAUGAGAUUAAAUAAUUCUAUAUAUCGUGAUAACAGAAAACAAAAACUGAAUGAUUUCAGUACAGUCUAGUGAGCUUAAAGCACCAAACUUAAAUCCAUACCUCAUCCUCUGACACAUCAAUUCUCAUUUUAUCCACCCUUCUUAUUUUGAUUUUGCUAAAUGAAUGAGCAGUAAAAGUCAAAUAGUCAGCAGUGAUUGUUAAGGGAUAAAAGUUUGAGUUGUUAAAUUAUCUUUUUCUUAUCCUAAAUGUUUCAAAGUUUAGACCAACUAAAGUAGAAAUUACUAGCAGGCCCGUCUCCAGGGCAUAUCUCUCAGUGGCAAAGGGGAGGACGGAUAGGGCUCAGCGCGACAGUGUGCAGAGUUCUAUUCCCCGCAAAGUGGAAUUGGCUUUGUUGUAAGCCGGAGUUACCAUAUGGAUUAACAACCUUGGCCUAUCCAUAUGCUCUUCACCCUGGCUCCUGGGAGGCAUAUCCUACGAUUUACCUCCUCCACGAUGGCCGAGGACAGGGUCAGUGGGGGCCAUUAAGGUUGAGGUUCAACCUUUUUUUUUUUUUUUUUUACUAGCAGGCCCCCCACCUACAGGGGAGCGCCAUGUGGUGCCCAGUAGUACAGGGCACGCUUUGUGGGUCCCAUUUAUUGGGCUAGGUGCGAUUUGGUCAGUGACAGUUGCAAAUAAAAUUAUUUUCUAGGACCGAAACAUGCAAGUAACUUAAAUAAACCUUUAACUAUUUAUUCAACGUUAUUAAGAGCAAUGCNNNNNNNNNNNNNNNNNNNNNNNNNNNNNNNNNNNNNNNNNNNNNNNNNNNNNNNNNNNNNNNNNNNNNNNNNNNNNNNNNNNNNNNNNNNNNNNNNNNNNNNNNNNNNNNNNNNNNNNNNNNNNNNNNNNNNNNNNNNNNNNNNNNNNNNNNNNNNNNNNNNNNNNNNNNNNNNNNNNNNNNNNNNNNNNNNNNNNNNNNNNNNNNNNNNNNNNNNNNNNNNNNNNNNNNNNNNNNNNNNNNNNNNNNNNNNNNNNNNNNNNNNNNNNNNNNNNNNNNNNNNNNNNNNNNNNNNNNNNNNNNNNNNNNNNNNNNNNNNNNNNNNNNNNNNNNNNNNNNNNNNNNNNNNNNNNNNNNNNNNNNNNNNNNNNNNNNNNNNNNNNNNNNNNNNNNNNNNNAAAAAAAAAAAAAAAAAAAAAAAAAAAUAUAUAUAUAUAUAUAUAUAUAUAUAUAUAUAUAUAUAUGUACACACACACACACAAGAUUUAUAUAUUGUAUUGUUUGAUUUUAUAUAUGCUUUUAACAAUUUAAUGAAAAUCAUAGAUAUCAAAAAAUUAUAAUAGUUAAAAAAAUUACGUUGUGUUGUGAUAGUUGAGCUCAACACUUGAGUACUAAUUAUGUUUCACUAAGUAAAAUUACGCGAAUGGAUGAAAAUUCACUUGAAAUUGAAAAUAAAAUCGUCACCACAUAAAUUUUGCUAUGAUAAUUGGAGUGAACAUGGUUUAAUAAGAUCUUAAUCGAAUACCAUUUGAAAUCUUACGAAUAAUAACAAAUGGUUCUAUGUACAUUGAAAUGACAUGAUCAGAAAUGACUGGCUUCUAGUUUAAUUUUUCUUGUUUAUUUUCAUAUUUUUUUUAAUCUAUACAAUAAAUUGUUGAUAAAUGCGAAUAUGCAUUAAUAAUUAAGAUAAUUUAGUUUAGUAGUUAUUUAUUAGUGAAUGUUUGAUUGGAGUUUAAAUAAUGAUUUUAGUGAUAAGUUAUCGAUUUAACAUAAUUAAUGAAUAAUAAGUGGAGAGUAAUUGAAGAUCCAACAAAUGCUUGUAGGUUUGUGCAUUAGGUGAGUCGAUCUGGUUAUUUCAAUACCUAGAACCACACAUUAAACUUCGGAUAUUUCGUAAAUAAAACUAUUCAGGUCCUUGUAAUUAUUAAAACCAAAGCCAAUUCAUAUAGGUUCUUUCCAUAUGUAUACCUAUGAUAAUAUUUGACAAUAUUAUGCAAGGGAGAAAAUCUAGCUAAGAAAACUAGCCCCUGUUUGGCCCCCAUUACGGGGAAAAUUUAAUGUAUAGAAUAGUGUUUUUUGAAAAAUGAGUGGUUGAAAAAGAAAGAAAAAUUUUCGAUUUACGUGUAAUAUUAUUUUAUGGAAGAUUGUGUGGUUGAAAAUAGGAGAGAGAAAAAUAGAAUGUAAUGUAAUGAAAAUCAAACAAGGGCUAGCUACAUAACUCAAAACAUCAAAAGUUAAAUUACAAUUCGAGAAGAAAUAAUUGUUUCUUAAUAAAUUCAUUCGAAAUAUAAUGAAGCAUUCUAAAGCCUAUAUUUUUAAUUAUUGACAAUGCUUAAAUUCUUCUAUUUUGAAAAUGAAUUGACAUUAAAAAAAGUACUAUCCAGAUAUAUAAAUAUAUAGCAUCAUGAAAUUGAAAUCUACAUAAUGUACUCGCUCUUUUUGAUUAAAAGAGGAAAAACUAUAUUUCAAAAGAGAAACCCGAAGUCAAGAUAAUAAAAAAGAUACACCAUGGUCCAAAUUAUGAAUAUAUCAAGUUCAAUUGUCACUCAUUAUAUAAAAAUUAAAAAAACUUCAAAAAUUUGUAAAUAAUGCAAUAAAAUAAAAAGUUCGAAUUGCAAAGAAUGUAUGGUUUGAUUCAUCAACUUACAGCACAAUCCUAACUUAAACUUUCUUAUUCAUAGAAAUUUUAAAUUGCAAUGAUUAGCAUAUUAAUAACCUUUAAAAUACAAUAAUCUGAUUUAAAGCGAGAGGCAAAAAAUAAGAGUCAGUUAUGAUUUUUUAGGGCCAAAGUCCAGAGAUUUGAUAAAUUACUAUCGAAAUUAAAGUUUAUAGGUUUUACAAUUUUUUGUAUCUAGCCUAUAAAUUGUAAAAAGUAAAAAAAAUUAUAUAAAAAUUGAUUUCAUUCGGAUACUCACGAUUUUGAUUUAGUAAUCAAGAACCAACUCGAAACCAGUUAAUUCUUGAUUUUAGAUGUUAUUUUAUUUUUUGGAACCGAAACAUCUGGUUCCUAUUCUAUUUGGAUUCGAAAGGUUUGAUUUCAGUUAAAAUGUUCAAACUUAAAUGCUUGUUUAGAGUUCAUUAUAAUAUAUUUCUAAGGCUAUAAGAUAAAGUCAAAAAACUACUAUUCACAUAUUUUGUAGGACAUAUUACUCAUCUUCACUAUAUUCACAUUAUAUUUUUUUUAUCAAAUCAAAGUAUUCAUGUUUGACUAAGAGUGAUUAUAAAAUAAAUAACCAACACAUUAUAUAAUCAACCAAGAAAAUAGAACUUUUAAAUAUCCAAUUUUAAAAGAGAAAUGUUAUUUACUAUUGAUAUUAAAUUACAGUUUUAAUUAAACAUAAGGAAUUAUGAUCCAUUUAAUAGGUUAUAUUAUGAUAUGGGACACAUAAAUUGUUGUUGAGCACUACUAGUGUUAGAUAGUAUUAUUCAAUGAAAUGCAGGAUUAAAAUUUUUUUUAUCAAGACGAGCUAAAAUUACAUAUUAAAUACAUUUAAACACUAAUUUUGUUUACAUAUACAUUACGUUAAAUCCAUUGGCCCCUUACUUUAAAAAAAUAAAAAUAAAAAUAAAAAUAAAAAAUAAAAAAUUAUAAUUUCUCCAAAUAUAAAAUAAAUGGCGAAAAAUGAUUUUCUAGACUUCUUCAGUAGCACCGCCCCUGAAGCUCCAGGCCAUGUGCCCACUUCAUUUCGUUUCGUGUAAAAUGCCAUAAUUUUUUCAACUACGAAAUGACGUCAUACGAUGUCGGCAAAAACUUGUCCUUAUUAGAUUGGUCCACGUACUGUUACAUUUCAUGCAAUAUAUUAGUGACACCUUGUCCCUCUCUCUCUCUGUCACACUAACAUUUUUUAUUUUUUAAUCUUCGCCAACUCUAUAUAACAGGUUGCCAUACCGGCUACAAGAAUACGCAAACUCAUCACACAACCUUGGAGCAAAACAAACAAUUACAUUUGUAAAACCCACCUGUUUUCAAGUAGUUCUCUACUUAUUUACUCCCAUAGUUGCAAAAAAUUCAUAAAAUGGCUCGUGAUAUUGUAACCAGGACCGGCGCCGUUGGUGGUCUAGUUAAGGCCGCCAGUUUGUCUAGCCGUGCCUAUGUCACUUUCUUGGCGGGCAACGGAGACUAUGUGAAAGGAGUCGUAGGCUUGGCCAAGGGAUUGAGGAAAGUGAACACUGCGUACCCACUUGUGGUGGCUGUUCUGCCGGACGUUCCGGAGGAGCACCGCCAGAUAUUGAUCAAACAGGGUUGCAUAGUGCGGGAAAUUGAACCGGUUUAUCCUCCGGAAAAUCAAACACAGUUUGCCAUGGCUUAUUAUGUCAUCAACUACUCAAAGCUUCGGAUUUGGGAGGUAAAAAUCCUUGAAUUUUUCUAGAAUGAAAUGAUCAUACUAUGAAAGUAGAUUUUGCAUAUCAUAUGUUCGAUGAUAUGCUCAACAGAAUUAGUUUUUAAUUGCAGUUUGUGGAGUACAGCAAGAUGAUAUACUUGGAUGGAGACAUACAGGUUUUUGACAACAUAGAUCACCUCUUUGAUUUGCCAAAUGAGUAUUUCUAUGCUGUGAUGGACUGUUUUUGUGAGAAGACAUGGAGUCACACCCCACAAUUCAAGAUUGGGUAUUGCCAACAGUGCCCAGAUAAGGUCCAUUGGCCUCAAGAAUUGGGUCCUAGGCCUCCUCUCUAUUUCAAUGCUGGGAUGUUUGUCUUUGAACCAAGUCUCCCCACCUACCAUGAUCUCUUGCACAAACUCAAAAUUACUACUCCAACUUCAUUUGCUGAGCAGGUAAAAUAACACAGCCAUUAAUCAGAAAAUUCCUUGACAAGUAUUUCUAUGAAAUGAAAUUUAAAGUGUAUUAUAUGUUACAUUUGCAGGAUUUCUUGAACAUGUUCUUCAAAGAUAUUUACAAGCCAAUUCCCAAUAAUUACAACUUGGUUUUGGCAAUGCUGUGGCGCCAUCCCGAGAAUGUGAAGCUCGAUGAAGUUAAGGUGGUCCACUACUGUGCUGCAGGCUCCAAACCUUGGAGGUAUACUGGAGAAGAAGAAAACAUGGACAGAGAAGACAUCAAGAUGCUAGUGAAUAAGUGGCGGGACAUUUAUAACGACGAGACAUUGAAUUACAACAGGGGUCCCGGUCGUAGUGCUAAAUCGAUACCGGCGCUGCUUACGGAGGCUGGUGUUGUUCAUUAUAUCCCCGCUCCUUCGGCUGCUUAGUUUGGUCCUUUUGGUUGCUUAAUUCGGUUUUGAAUCUCGAAGGCUACUCUGAGUAGUUGGAUUAGUUCAGUUUUACAUGAAGCUGGUCCAUUUCUUUCUUAAUUCUUUUUUAUUUCAGGGAACGAGUUUAUAAAGUUCUCCUUCACGCAGCUUUAAUUGUUGCUUUUUAAAAUUUGUAAACAUUUUAAGAAUGUAUAGUAUGAUCUUUGUAAAUAUUACUCGAUGUUGUAAAGUGUUCAUGGUAUGGCAAAUAUUUUCUUCACCAUAAUUAUGCCUAAAUAUUUGUUAUUUUACUUCAUUUUUCUUACCGGGAAAACAAAGAGAAUUAUUUUGCCGUUCGAUAAAACUUCUUUCAGAUUUCAAGCGGACGAAACUAAUAUAUUCAUCAUACAUUUCGUUAAUCUAACAAUUUUUAUUCAGUUUUUAAUCACACAUUUCAUUGAACCUGUCUUUUUUAAUCUCAAAAAUCUUUGUCAAGCUAAGGCGGCAAGUUCAAUUGUCAAUAACAAUUACUAUCAAUAGUGAUUUGCAUGCAUCAUUGGUGAGUGGAGGGAAACCUCAUUUAGUAAAAUUCAACAUAUCAAUUUUUAACACAUUAAACAUAUUGUGUUACACAACUCUUAUACGAGGUAACAAGUAUGUGUUUGUAAGCACACGAAGGACCCUAAAACACUAAUCUCGACUCCGUAACAAACACACAUACAUGUCUAGCUUCUCUUGUUCUAUCCCUCUUACGUUCCUUUAUUUUUUGUAUUCUGGUUUACUUAUUUUUUUCUUCUACGCUAAAUGAAAGAUUGAAAUCAUCCUGUUUACAAGACAAUAGUGUAGUGCAAGGAUUAACAAAUGGAAUUAAAAACAAUUGAGGACAUAUUUAACAGAGUUUAUAAUGUCACAUAUGAAUAGUGCUAAUGUCAUAAGAUUACAUGGUAAGAGCAAUCAUGCUACACCUUUAUUUGGAUAGAAGUCUAAUACAAUUGAUGUACAAAACUUCAGCGUAUAUCAGGGCUGUAAUAACAAUUUCAUCUCAAACAAAUAGACAUUAAAUAUGUUAAGUCAGUAUUUGGUGGAGAUUAAAAUCAAAUUUUUAGUAGAUUUUGAUAGAAGUUAAUGAAACGUGUGUUGGAAAAGUUGUGAGUUUCAUGAAAAAUUUAUGGUUAAAAUUAAUUGUUGAGUUGGAUUUAACUAUCAAACAGGGCUAAAAAUUAUUUGGGUUACUAGAAAGUAAAUGCAAUUUCUUCCAUAAAAAAUUGAUCAUCCACCAUCCAAUUUUCUUGGAUCAUUUGCAAAGUGGCAUUGGGUCGCCCAAAUGAGUUAAGGAAGCGUAGUAAAAGUCAAAGAGUGAGCACUGAGUCAAGUUGAUGAGUCGGUUUGCUUCCUUCCAACCGCAUUAAUCAUUAAUAAUAUCCUAAAUUAAUUAUCUUUUUCUUAUCUAACAAAACUGGAAUAAUGCUCCUGUAACCUGAGUGGGUCCGUUUGGCUACGGUUGCAAUUUUUAAUCGAAUAAUGCUCCUUGUACACUCCAUGUUGUACAUGGAGUUUAACAUUGUUUGCAAAUUCUUGCAAAUUCUUGCAAAUUCAAAAAUGUAUGGACGGAAAAGUAUUUUUCAUUUUAAAACUGGUCAUUCGUUGUACGACAAGUGGCACAAUGUCAAACUUAAUGUUAAAGAAAAUAUACGUGUAGUUUUAAUCAACCUUUAAUUAGUUGCCUAGGAAGUAGGAAUGAAAACAUUUAUUAUUGAAAGUAACGUUUUUAAUAAAGUAUAUUUCCUUUUUCUUUUUUGCGUUGUAUAACUUUAUAUAAUGCUUUAAUAUUGUUGAGUGAAAAUCAAAAUAUGUAGAAAUUAUAUAGCACUGUCACAAUUGAUCUCAAAAUUCAAAUGUCAGUCAUGUGUCAUCGAGAACAAAUUACAUAACAAAAAUUUGCUAUGGCAAUUGUGGUGAACGUGAUAUGAUUCAUCCAACUUUGAUGAGAAUUAAACUUCAUCGAACAAAGAUUUACAUCUCUCGAAUAAGAUUAAAUAGUUCUAUAUAUCGUGACAAUAGAUAACAAAAAUUGAAUGAUUUCAGUACAGUUUCGUGAGCUUAAAGCACCAAACUUAAGUCCAUACGUCAUCCUUUAACACAUCAAUUCUCAUUUUAUCCACUCUUCUUAUUUUGAUUUUACUAAAUAAAUAAGCAGUAAAAGUCAAAUAGUCAGCAGGAUUGUUAAGGGGUAAAAGUUUGAGUUCUUAGUACUCAUUUAUCUUUUUCUUAUCCUAAACACGUUUCGAAGUUUAGACCAAUGAACUAAACUAUAAGUUACUAGAAGGCCCCCCACCUACAGGGGAGCGCCAUGUGGUGCCUAGUAGUACAGGGCACGCUUUGUGGGUCCUAUUUAUUGGUUUUGGUGCGAUUUGGUCGGUGACAGUUGCAAAUUAAUGAACCAUUAAUAAUUAAUAACCAAAUAAAAUUCUUUUCGAGGACCGAAACAUGCAAGUAACUUAAAUAAACCUUUUACUAUUUAUUCAACAUUAUUAGAGCAAUGCACAGAGCAAUAUUAAAAAAAAAAAAAAUUACAAAAUUUAUAUAUUGUAUUGUUUGAUUUUAUAAACACUUUAUAUUAAGACUUGAGGUCCAUCGGACCUCAAGUCUUAACAUAAUAUCUGAGCCACUACAUGAAUUUCAAGAUUGGUUUGCUCAAUUGAGCCACCAUCUUGAGGAGGCCUAUUAAGGAAUGUGUUAUCCCACAUUCAUUUAAUACCAAAAUAAAUAUCAAUUUAUAAAAAUCUUGAACUUCUCCACUUAAUAAGAUUAACCUUAUUAAGAUGGAUCUCAAAUCUUAACACUUUAACAGUUUAAUGAAAACUACAAAUAUCAAAAAAUUAUAAUAGUUAAAAAAUUACGUUGUGUUGUGACAAUUGAGCUCAACACUUGUGUACUAAUUAUGUCUCGCUAAGUAAAAUUACGCAUACAAAUGAAAAUUCACUUGAAAUUGAAAAUAAAAUUGUCGCCACAUAAAUUUUGCUAUGAUAAUUGGGGUGAACGUGGUUUGAUAAGAUAUUAAUAGAAUACCAUUUGAAAUCUCUCGAAUAGUAACAAAUGGUUCUAUGUACAGUGAAAUGACAUGAUCAGAAUUGAUUGGCUUCUAGUUUGAUUUUUCUUGUUUAAUUUCGUAUUUUUUUUUUGGUUGGAUUUUAGUGCAGUGGAUGAACCCGAAUUCAUUCAUAUCGUACAUAAACUUUACAUAUUAAAUUUAUACAUAUCGUAUAUGCAAUAUAUCAUAUAUACGUAUACCGUAUUCGCAGCAUACCGUAUAUCAAUAGCUUAGUAUACAGUAUAUGUUGUCUACCGUAUAUACAUAUAUUGUCUUUGGAUACUGAUUUUGCCUUACACAUACCAAAAUUGCAGAACACCGUGCCCUCGUUUAGCUCCUAUUCUUGCCAAAUUUUAAUGUUUUGAAUAGUAUUUUUUUGAAUAAUGUGUGGUUAAAAAAGAAUGAAAAUUUUUGAUUUGCGUGUAAUAUUAUUUUAUGGAAGAUUGUGUGGUUGAAAAUAAAAGAGAGAGAGAGAGAGAGAGAGAAUGAGAAUGAGAAUGGGGGUCGAACGGGGCGCGUAUAUGCAGUGAACAAGAUAAAAUCUAGCAAAUUUAAUUUUCAAUAGAAUAAACAAAUUAAUUUGAUCAACUAAUCUAGUUGGCCAAAUAACAUAGAUUAAUUUUUAAUAAACAUAAAUGGAAUGACAAAAUAAUAAAACUGGAAGUUAUAUGAAUCAUACAAAUAAAUUGCAGAAAUAUAUAAAUAACGGAUGAACUUUCAACUCGAGGCUGUGCGAGCAUUGUUUUUUUAAAACAGAUUCGCCCCCUAACCGUAAGCGCUUGAGAUUUAAUUCAAGCGUCUGUUUCUAAGGAUACAAUGGUAGACCAGUAGAAUCUGAGCACUGCAGAAUCUACUCUGACGAAUUGAUUAAUAUCCGAACAAUAUCAUCACCAAGACGAUGCUGACAGAAAAAUUAUGUAUGCAGACAGACUGAACUACAUUGUGAUGUAGAACAAUCUUUCUUUGUAUUUUGUAUAUGCACUAUUUUCGUGUGUUCUGGAAUUGCUGGAAAAUGAGAAUUUAUAUAAAUAAAUUUGCCAUUAACUCUAUAGCAAUAAAUAUUGGAGUCACUUCAGUUUCUAGGAGUUUUAGAAGUUUCAUAAACUCAAAUGUCAGUGGAGAAAGCAAAAAAAUUAAAAAAAAUUUGCAAAACGUGGACACUCCAAUCGGACCAAUUUUGCUCCGUUGGGUCCGACAUUCAUGUACGCAAGUCGUGCCCGCAUACAAGUUCAAGGUCUGAAUGCUAUUUCGGUCCAUGAUUUGUACCCCCUGCGUGUGCGCACAUGGAGAGAGCCUCUGUACUAUACAUGAUUACACCCUUCCAAUGUGCUAUCAUAUUUAAAGUGAUUCUUAUUUUCAUAUUUUUCCUAUGUGGGAAACUCAAUUUUUCUCACAUGAACCAUCUUCCAAUGGUAAACUUUGAGCUUCAAUUUCUCAUUCACCCGAGCUUCAUUUUUGGUAAGUAAAUAUAUGAUUUUGAUACUCUCACGAAAGAGAACAUGGAUCAACUUUGAUCUUCCAAAUUUAAGCAACGAGUCCCAUCAAAAAUUGUGCCAAAAGUGAGUCAUUUACUCAUUUUUUCCAACAAUAUCUAUACAAUAAAUUGUUGAUAAAUGCGAAUAUGCAUUAAUAAUUAAGAUAAUUUAGUUCAGUUGUUGAUUUGUUAGUGAAUGUUUGAUUGGAGUUUAAAUAAUAAUUUUAGUGAUAAGUUAUCGAUUUAACAUAAUUAACGAAUAAUAAGUGGAGAGUAAUUGAAGAUCCAACAAAUGCUUGUAGGUUUGCGCAUUAGGUGGGUCGAGCAGUGAUUGGCAUGCAUUGGUGAGUGGAGGGACUACGAAGGACAUCAUUUAGAACCAUUCCAUGUUGCAUUGGUGAGGUGAGGGACUACGAAGGACAUCAUUCAAAACAAUUCUAUAUACUAGUUAUGUACUUAUUAAUCACGUUACAUUGCAUAACUCUAAUACGAAGUAAUAAGCAUGUAUUUGUAAGCCUGGGUUUUGAUAUCCAAUAAUCCGAGCGAUAAUUUAAAACAGUUGUUGGAUUAUUUAUCGACAUCAUGGACUUGACUCGACUUGGAAAUAACCUAAACUUGUGGAUGGUCCAAGUGGUAGUUGGAUUAUUAGAUUUUAGGUUUUGGAUUAAUUGGUAGCCCAUUAGUUUAGGUUUUAAGAAGCCCAUUUGCACAAGUCUUUGGCCCAAGUUGUAUAUCUAACCUAUCCUAUAUAUACCCAUCUUCUUGCAGCCCUUUUUAUGGUGGUGUGUGGGUGUGUGUUGAGAGAGGGAGAGAGGGCCGAGAUAGAGAGGAGGUCGAGAGAGGUGAGGGGGCAACCAACUUGGUGGUUGUUGGAGUGAGCAACAUUGUUGCUUCUUCUUUUUCCUAUCACCACCACAUCCCUUCUCCUUUGUAGAGUUUGAGAGAGUUUGGGCAGUUCAAAGUGAAGGUGUAGCUCUUGGGUUGAGCCAAGGUAAAAUGGUGUUCGUUUGAAUUUUUUUAAUCCAAAAUCAAGAUUUAUUGAGGGAUUUCCGCUACAGCCUGCAUAAGUGCUUAAAACAACUUAACCUCGAGUCUGCAGUGUAGUGUCACUACAACAAAAAUAACUUUUUACAACAUUCAAAAAACAUUGCUAAAGACCUUUUGCAACGUUCGAUCGCAUGUUGCAAAUUUGGAUGUUGCCGUAGAGUAGAAGGAUAGAACAACGUUUUUCAGACGUUGCAAUAAACCCAUUAGCAACGUUUUUCAAACGUUGCCAAAACCAUUUUGCAAUGUUUAAAAACCCUUUCGCAAUGUUUUUUGAACGUUGCAAAAAAAAAAAAAACAUUUCUUAACGUCUGAAUGUUGUAAAAAACAUUUUCGCAACGUUUUUUUGACCGUUGCCAUAAGGUUUUUUUCAGCAAUUUAUGUAAAUUGACUCGUAAAAUUGAAAAAGACUCAUUUCAAAUAAAUUUUGAAAUUGCAUAAAAAUUGAUAAUUUCAUUACAAAUUUUUGAAUCUAUACAUUUGAACAUUAGAAUGUCAUACACUACCACCUAAAUAAAAAGGAGCUUCAAAAUGAAACAAAAUUAGGAAUAAAAUUUUGAUACAGCUUAGGCACGAAAAGCUUAUUGCCACACUUGCAAUAUCAAGCUUCUGGAUAAUACUCUAAUGGCAUACUCAAUCCUGUCGUUCUUCAUGCAUUCUUCGAUUUGCUCGCCAUUCAAUUCAUGAUGGCCAACGAAGCUACAAAAGAAGCAUUGAAUCAAUAAGAAAAAUGUCUGUGUUUGAAUUUCAAUCAAAUGAUAUGUUAUUUACCGUUUCUACAAAAUUGACACAUGGAAAAACAACUACCUGAAAAAUUGACACCAUAUACAUUAGAGUUCAUCAAAAGAUUCCUUAGAAGAUUUAAUACACUAACUGAACUAAAAAUAAAUUUCCAAGUCAUGCCUUAAUAGUUGUGCUAUUUUGAAAUGAUUGUAUUUGAUUUUUCCCAAAGAAGAACGGAAAGAAAUAAAUGAACAUACAGUUCUUCCAAGGCCUCUAGUAACAAGUGGAUCGCAUUGGAUAACACCAUAUCUUCUGCUAAAGUUCCUGCACAAAGAGAAGCUAUUAAGCACUAUUGAAGACUUGAAGCAACAAAAAGAAAGCUUGCUUAUAAGACAGAAGAAUUUUUAAAAAAAAAAAAAAGAAAAGAAAAGAAAGAAAAACUUAAUUUGUUUCUUUUUGUACAGUCACUGUUCUAACUCCACUCAGCGCGACCUACGUGCAUCGUGUCGAACCAAAGAUAGACACUGCAUAUACUAAAAAUUCUGAAAAGUAAAUGAAUAUUGUUAAAUAAAAUUUGAUCAAUUUUUUCUUGGAUCAUUUGCAUCGAAUCGCCCAAAUGAAUUACUAGUUGUUGACCUCGAUUUUUGCACGAGUGACUGGUCAAUAGAUCCUAACUCCACUCAUGUCUACAUUGUAUUUCUCCUAUACCCUUGAACAAACGGUUAAGAACAAGUGGCCUUCUCCGAAUAUGAGAGAGGCGACCUUGUGCACUCCGCCGGUCUUUGAGAAUAUAUGAUUAAAGUAGAAAAUUUUAUGGGUUUAUGUGCAAAAUUAUUUAAUUUGGGAAUUUAUUUUUUCUAAAGAAUGUGUUCCAAACAUGGACUAAUAUGCCAUUGACCUUUCAUUGCAUGCGUUGAUAAACGAAAAAGUGUGAUAAGUCAAGGAAUCCAUUACCUUAACAAUCAGUAAAAUUAUAUAUAUAUAUAUAUCUUUUAUCAUUUCCUUUUUCUUUUUCAUUUUUCUUUUUCAUAAUCUGUAUAUUCAACUCCUCCGAAGUGAUUUUUUUUUUUUGACUUUUCCUCAACUAUAUUUUAAUCUUUGCAAAUCAGUGUAGUAUUGCAUAGACUAUUUCUUAAUUAGAGAACAUAUUUAUUAAAAAUGAAUCGCAACAGUAAAAUAGUGAGUAUUGAGGGGUACACGUUUGAGUGGAUCUUUCCUGCCGUUGAUUAUUGAUAAGUGUGUUUUACACACUUAUUUUGACCAUAAAAUAUGGAUAAUUGUUGAUAAAUAUGUUAAAAUAUAGCUUAACUAUCGAUGAAUAUGGUGGAAUGUAAGGAAAACAAGCCAAAAAGGACCCAAAUGGGAAAAAAAAAAUUCAGGAACCAAAACUCAAAUAGACGAACGAAAGACAACCCAAAAGUGGAAACGAAGAUAUGAAAGGGUCAAUGACCAGUUUAGUGAAAACAUAAAGUAUUGGAAGAAUACAAAAUGAGAAAAUAGGUCAAGAAACGAGAAAACAGAGUUCGGUGACUAAAAUGCAAAGAUUGAAUUUUUGCUUGAACUGCACUAUAGCAUAGUUAUUUCUUCAAUGCAGUAGCACAUCUAUUUUCAACAAGUUUUAGGGCCAAAAUCCAUUGAACUAUGCUAUUGCGUUGAUUUACAAAUCCGGCAGGAAAAAUCUAGUUUCAUUAUUUGAUUAAAACUUCUAUAAAAACCAGUUUUGAGACAUCUUUUAAAGCCCUAAGGCUGUUCCGAAGGGAUUAAGAAGCAUUCUAACAUAUUUUUAAGAGUUUUAGAACGUAGAAGGAAGAGAGAAACAUGAAGAUCGACCCAAAGACGCGAAGAUCCAAUUCAAGAAUUAAUUGGGUGAUGUCCUUUCUCCAAUAUUUCUUUUUGUUUUCUUAUUUCCACCAUGUUAUGUUAGAUUUAUAUGUGCUAGGAGAACGAUAAACUAUGUGAUAUGAUAUUUUAAUCUUUAGUUUUACAUUUUUGACAUUAAAUCACCUUUUUGGAGUUUGAAUUAUUUAUAUGAAUUUAUUUUCUUUACAAUUGUUGUGCACAUGAUUGUGUGAAUUUGGUGACUUGUUUCGUGCAUUCGAAAGAAGGGGAAUGGACUCGACAUGAUAUAAAAUCAUCGUAGGGUCCGAUAGGGGGAUGAAAAUAUAUGGCUAUACUCUAUGUGAAUCUUUAAGUGUUCAUAAAAAUUCAUGCAUUCUUGUGUAUUUGCAUCCGUCAUAGAAAUAUAGUCGGAUCGUAUAUGAGAAUAUGUUUAACAAUACUCGAGAGAGAUUGUUGAAUAAAAUAGAAACAUUGAUUCGUCAAAAUUCAAUCGUGUUGUCAAAAUAUAAAAUUAAGUUUAAAAAUGAUUAUUGCAUAGGUAUUUGCGAUUCUAGUACGUUCGUCAUUCAUUAAAGACAUCAACUUGCAUUUAAACACCACUUGCAUUUAGUUUAGUUAAUUCAUUCAUAAUUGUAUAUGUAGUUUAUUUUAGUUAUUAUUUCACCACAACAAAUACAUUCUUAUCAUUCUUGUUUUGGUUAAGAUCAAGAUUAUAAAAAUUGAACUAAAUCAACCAUUGUGGGACGAUAUUCGGACUCAAAAUUCACUUAUUACUUGUUAAUGAACCGUACACUUUCAAUGAUUUAAAUCGAAGGAUAUUUUCGUGAACAAUUAUCAAUCCAUCAUUAUCUUGAAUUGUUAUCCUAAAAGCUUUAGACUUGGGGACCAACUAACAUGAGUAUAAAAGUUGUAAAAUGUAGUAGAUAGUAGAAUGUGGAAAAGAGUAAGAAUUAUUGUGGAUGUGUGAAAAAAAUUGUGAAAUGGAUUAGCUUAUUAUAGAAUAAAAUAAAAUAAAAAAUUAAAACGCCAAACGGCUACUUUAAAAAAUUAAAAAAUUAAUAGUUCAGUGCAACGGCUAUUGAAGUAAUCGUCUUGGUCAUUGUAAAUAGCGAUGGCUCGCCGAGCCUGCUCAAUAAAGGUUAAAAUAAAAUUUUAUAUACAUGAAUUCUAAAAAUUCUAAAGAAACAAAAGUAUAAAAUUCUAAAAUUUUAAAACAAUUACAAAUAACUAAAAAUAAUUUAUUUUUUUUAAAAGUUCAAUUUCUUAAUAGUUAUUUAAUAAAAAAAUCUUAAAAACAUAUUUAAAAAAAUUCAAAGUAUACAUCUUUAUUUCUUAUUUUUGUAUUUUGCCAACUCAAUUUAUUAUUUGUUUUUGUUUUACUUUUGUCAAGAAAAUAUUGUAAAAUUUUUCAGCUUUAUAAUGUAUAUAUUAUUUGAGAAAAUUGUUCUGUUUUACUGAAUAAUCAAAUUUCACAAAAAAAAAAUGUCAUAAAAUAAUUUAUACAAAUUCCAAAUCAAACACUUUUUUUCUUUCUUUUUUCUUUUUUUGACAAAUAGUCUUAUAGAAUGAUAAAUUAAAUGUAUUUUAACAAUCUUAGAAUAGAUUCUCAAACCAAAAACUAAAAAUGGGAGCAAAAUUUCAAAGGAUUAAUAGCAGAAAAUACUCCUAAAAAUGUUUCUAUGUACGAAAUACCUCCCUAUUGAAAAUCGUAAAAAAGCCUCACGUUUGAAUCCUUUUGUGUGAAAACCCCAUGUUCUCAAAAACCUUUAGAGCCCGUUUGGGAGUAAUUUUUCAUCCCAAAAAAUUGAUUUUUGACCGUUAUUUCAUUAUUUCAACCGUCAUUUUUUACUUUUUCUCUUACGGAUGGCCCUCACUUUUUUCGUAACGAUCAAAAAAUCAAUUCUCAAAAUCCCUACCAAACAAGUCCUUAGAUUAAACGUUAAAACAGUAAAAAAUGUCAAAAUUAAAAAUGAAUAAUUGUAAUUUUAGUACCCAAGUUUUUUUUUUUUAACAAAUUAAAUCUAAAUUUUUUAUAUGUGCCAUCGACGGUCUCAAAUAUUUAAAACUUUAUUUUUCACUACACUCACCCAACCCACCCCACACUAUCCCUCUUCAUCUUGUUUCCCAAAAAUAAAAAAACCAAAAAAUAACAUAGUUCUCUCCGCUUCUAAGAUUUUAACUGUGGCCAGUAGCCCAAUUACUUUCUUCCUUGGCAGAAAAAGUCACAGCGUGAAACCAUGGGAUCUGGGUUUGUUAUUUCGGGAAGGAGAAUCCUCACAAAUGCCAACAUUUGUGCUUUUAAGGAAGCAUGGUUUUCCUAUCGAACUCAUAUUUGAAUCUCAUUAAAUUACAUUUCAUUUUUUUUAUUUUAUUUUCAGUCAUACAAUUUUUUAUAAAAUAAUAUUACACGUAAAAUGAAAUUUUUUUUCUUUUCUCAAUUAUUCAUUUUUUAAAAGAAUACCAUUCUAUCUAUUUUCAUUUAAAAAAAGUGAGGGCCAAACUGGGCGAUCACAGGGCAAAAGUCAAAGCUGUCGGUCAUGAGUGAGAUUUCACUAUUCUUGUGGUUGAGAAUAAAGAACUCUGGGCCCCAAUGAACUUUCUGGAGCUUGGUGACGUUCCUUUCCUUCAAGAAGCUGUGGCUGUUGUUGGUGAUCCUCGGCGAGGGGACAAACAUUACUAUGCAGCGAUUUUUGGGAAGGACGUGUGUGUCCUGUGGGGGUGGUGUUGAAAAGUAAAGUUUUUAAGAUUUAGGAUUGUAAGUUGCACAUAUAAAAAAUUUGGAUUUAAUCCCUAAAAAAAAGAAAAAAAAGAAAAAAGGGGUUUGGGCACUGAAAUUGUAAUUAUUCCUUUUUUACUUUUGACAUUUUUUACUGUUUUUAACGACAAGUUUGAUGAAUAUUGACGAUAGGAAGAUUUUUCGCACAAAAGGUUUCAAAUCGGGAGGUUUCCGACAAGUUUCAAUAGGUAGGAAGAUAUAUUAUGUUCUUGUUUGAGCCCCAUUUUAAGGGAAUAAUACAUUUUUAAAUGGUGAUUGAUGGAUAAUGUGUGGUUAAAAAAUAAAGAAAAGUUUUGGAUGUGCAUGUAAUAUUACUUUAUUAAACAAUAUAUGAUUGAAAAUGAGUUUUGAAAAAAUGAAUUUUGAGAAGAAUGGGGCUCAAACAAUACAUGAAAACGUUUCUAAGGAGAUUUUCUGCUAUUAAAUCAAAUUUAAAACUUAAAAUUUUAGGGGGCUUUUUUGCCCCAUUAUUUGUGAAUAAUGUAUUAUGAAAUAGUGAUUGAUAUUAAAAUGUGUGGUUAAAAAAAUAAAAAAAAUUAAUUUACGUGUGAUAUUAUUUUAAUGAAAAAUGUGUGAUUGAAAAGAGUACUGUAGAGAAAAUAAUGUAGAAGAAUGAUAGACAAACGCACACUUAAAUACAAAUCAAUAAGCCCCAAAACACGGAACAUUUCCGUUCCUCAUAUUCUGCAAUUUUUACGCCCUCAUAUCUGCAGUCAUAUGCACAUGCUUAGUUGGUCCACCUCUAAGUGACACAUGUAAGCCGGUUGAAUAGGUUUGGUCCAAUAACUGUACCAGGUCAAGUGUUGACACGACAAGUUUGUUAAAAGCAGUUAAUAUUAUUAGAAGAGUAAUACUAAGGAAAUAAACAAGAAUCAUGCCUCACGUAUAGGGCAGAGGCUCCUCUAUCGGACCGACACAAGGGGCGGGUCCGUGUGAUUUUUUUUAAUGCAGGUCGGACCCACCAACCUGUCAUCUACAGUGAUGGACAUUAUUCAAUAAACAAAAACAAAAAAAAAAAUUUUGAGCAACAAAGGAUGUUAAUUAUAAGGAUAAUGCUAUUUAUACAUCAUGUGGUGUCCAUUUUGAUGUCUACCUUUCUCAUGUGGAAGGGGACCAUUUUGAAUAAAUCAUAUUUUAAUUACAAUAGGCCCCCUCCAUGUGGGGGGGGGGGGGGCUACCCCAAUGUGUAUGUAGCGUGACCCUAAUUAUUAAUAGUUUCCACUAUUUUGGUAAAGGAGACGCAUAUGGUGCACGCCAUUUCAUUACUUCAAAUUCUUCGGCUCCAAAAUACAAUACAAAUAACAAAUCAAUCAUCGAUUUCGGUUUUUCUUGUUUUUAAAUAAAUGAUGAGCUAACGAUAAUCGAUCAUCAAAAUCAACUAAAUAUUAUCAAUCUUUUGUGGUCAAUAUCAUGAUCAACUGCUUCAACAAAAUUAUUAUCCUAAAUUAUCUUUUUCUGAUCCUAAACGUUUUUAGACCAACUAACAGACCUGCAAAUGUUCAACAUAUGACCCACAGUAGUGCUGAGGAAGGUGCUUUAUAGACACGUGGCACAAUCUCGUCCCUUUAAAUGAUGAAAAAUUUGUGUAACCUGUCAAGCUAAUAUACACACUUUUAGUGGGUCCUACCUUUAAGUGACACCUUUAGGUCCGUUAAUGGUUAACCGAUUUUGGUCGGUGACAGUUGCCGUGUGACGGUUGCCGUUGGUCCAACGCUUCAACUGUAGUUGUAAUUAAUCAAAUAAAAUUCUUUUGUAGUUACCUCGGAGAGAAACAUAUAGAAUUAGGUGCACCUUAGUCCAAUAAACAUUCAUUAUUUAUUCAAAACUAUUGAGAGUAACGUGUUGAACGGUAUUUUUGUGUUAUUGUGUUUAAUGCUUUGUGAAAAUUAUAGUAACUUACAUAGUAUUACACUAAUUGAGCUCAAAAUUCGAGUGCCAAUUAUGCGUUACUAAGUAAAAUUACGUGACGAAACGAUUAGUGACUUGACAUUAAAGGAUAAUACAAUGUGUAAAAUUUGUAAUGACAAUUAAGAGUAAAUAUAGUUUGAUUCGUCUAGCUCUUAUGAGAAGCGAAUUAAACUAAAUAUGAGUGGAAUUCUACUCAUGGACCAAACGAAACCAAAAUUGAUUGAUUUAAUUUAUCGUGGUUUUAAUUCUUUUUAUGAUUCAUAAAAACACAAAGUAUAUAUUCAUAUGAUAUAAUAUAGUACAUAAUGUUUCUUUUAAUCUAUUCAAUUUUGAUUUUUCUUGUUUUUUGAUUCAAGUUUAUUCUAUCAUUGUUCUUUAAUGAAAAUGCUUGACAAAUCUUAUCGUCCCUUAUUUUUCAUUAACGUUAACCAUUUGAUUCAAAAGUUUAAUCGUUCAUUGUUUUUAAUCAAAACCUGAUACAUGAACAAUUUCUUUAAAUCGACAGCGUCAACAUGGUGAAAUAUGAGUUUCAAGACAUUUCUCUACUUUAAAAUCAUAUCACAUGAUUAAAGAGUUUAAAUUGUUAGAUAUGAUUGCAUAUUAUUAUUUAAAUGUUGUAGUCAACUUACUCUUGUUUAAGAUUGAAAACACUCAUUUAAUAGUCCAUCUUCCCUUCUACUUUUUCUGGUUUUCUCCAUCUAGUGUGCUCGAUUUUCCUUAUUCUACACUAGAUGUGAGAAAAAUUGUGUUAUCUUUCUUCAAUAUUAAUGAAAACGCCUAUUUCAUGAGACAUCAAUUAAGACUAUACAAGUUUAUUAUUAUUAUUAUUAUUAUUUUAAACUUUACUAAAAAAUCCAAUAUUCCUGGAUUGAGAAAGAUAAGCGAACUAUUGUUUACAAUAUAUAAUUUCGGGUCAAGUAAUCCCAAUAUAACAUGUAUUGAUCAUCGAACUCAACUAUAGUUUGAGGUUUCUAAUUUUGAGAGUAUUCUAAAUUUCCGUCUAGAAGAUUUCGCCUCUGUUUGUCAUCAUUUUUUAAAAUUUAUUUAACUCAUUUUCAAUUACAUAUUACAUGAAAUCAACCAUUUAUAAUAACUUUUUCACCAUAUAUUUCAUCAAUUUUUAUCUAAAUUUACUAUAAAAAAAAAUCUUAUUUUCAUUUAAACCAAACAUCGACUAAUUCUAAAUUAUCUAUAAAUAUAUAUUAUAAUAUAUAUGUCAAGACCACCUUCAUAAUUUUUCUCGUAAAUUCUUAUAAUCAACUACUGAUAUACGGCACCAAUAUUUUCAACUUUCUCACUGGACCAUUUCGUAAUUCUAGAAAAACAUUAGGUAGAAAAGUCAGUCAGUUAGCCGUGACUAUCGAUUCGAUGAGUGAUGAGUCAGUACUUUUUUCCAACAAUUAAUUGUGAAUAUUAUCUUUUCCUUAUCCCAUCUUAUCCAAAAUAAAAUAUAGAAUUAAGACCAACUAAUAAAUGUUGAACAAGGUGGUGCUUUAUGUCUACGUGGCACAAUCUUUUCCCUUAAAAGUUACGCGGAAUUAACUGGGAGCCGUAAAGAUGUCCCACGUUUCACGUUUGGUUGUCUCGGGACCCACCUCCACCCACUAUUGUAACUAACGCGUGUGGGGUCCACUUAAUGGGUUACGAUUUGGUCGGCGACGGUUGCCAAUACCCCGUUUGGCCCCCCAGUCUCUCUCUCUAUUAUUUUAACUAUAAAAUCUUUCGUAAAAUAAUAUUAUACGUAAAUCCAAAAUUUCAUUUUUUUUCAACCACACAUUCUUCAAAAAACUAUUGAAUUUGACAGUACUUGAACGAAUUUUACAUUUACAAGAGAAGUCCAAGAAAUAGAUUUUAAUUAGGUCUCUUUUAUGCAUCUGUUAAGAAAAUUAACAACUUUUUACAUGACUAUUUACGACCUCAAUGUGUAGGGUUAAAAAUAUUGAUUUGGUAGCAACAUUAUCAAAGUCACAUUUGAACUUAAUAAAUUGAAAUGAUAAAAUUUGGAAAACCAUUGAAGUUGAGAGAUUAGAUUGCAAUUUUAUUUAACAUCGAGUGGAACCCCGACAAAAUAGUACGUGGAUCUAACCAUAGAGAAUUCACAUGAAGAAAGGUGAGGAACAUAGUUAGAUAGAGUGCCAAAAUGAACGGUUAAGCUCCAAAUAAUCCAUCAAUAGCCUUAACUGGCGCGACUUGUAGCCACAUCGAGAUUGACCCCUUAUGUUUAACAGUCUAGGCCAGUACGGACUAUUAAAAUUUUUAGCGUACUCAAACCACAUGCAUUGGUCAGUCCGAAAAGCAUGUCGAUCCUUCUCGAAUUGAAUUGAACCGUAUUUUGUGUCUACUAGUCAACGUUGAUCGUGCAACACACGUUAUUAUGAAGUGUUUUAAAAGUGCUAUAAAAUUAAUAUUUGAAUAUGUAUGAAUGUUAAUUAAUUUAGAAUCAAUAUCGAGGAAUAUAUACGUGACAAUGAAUAUUAAAUCAUUUAUUUAAUUUCUAAUUAAGUAAAACUGGAUGUUAAUUAGCAUAUAUUGACGUGAAUAAUGAACUGCACUUGAAAUUCUAAUUAACUUAGAAUUAAUGAAAUUAAAAUACAUUAAUGAAGAUUGAAUACUAAUUAAAUGAACGUGAAUGUUAAUUAAUUGAGAAUUAAAAAUUGAUAAUUCAUACAUUAAUGAAAGUAUACAUGUAAAAUGGAUGUGUCAAAUAUACUUGUACAUUGAUGGCAACUAAAUAAUUAAAUAAAUAAAAUACGUAUUAAAAAAUAAAAAGUAACGUAUUAUUGAAAUAAUUUAUUAUAGAAAGCUAGAAUCAUCCAAAAAAAAGAUUCACACCUGACGUGAUAUUUACGAAAUGCUUUAUAAGUACUAUAGAAGUAAUAUUUGAAUAUGCGUGAAUGUUAAUUAAUUUUUAAUUAAUAUCAUGGAACAUAUUUAUGUGUGACAAUAAAUGUUAAAUCAUUUAUUUAUUUACUAACUAAGUAAAACUGGAUGUUAAUUAGCAUAUAUUGACCUGAAUAAUGAAAUGCACUUGAAAUUCUAAUUAACUUAUAAGUAAUGAAAUUGAAAUGCAUUAAUGAAGAUGAAUACUAAUUAAAUGAAUGUGAAUGUUAAUUAGUUGAGAAUUAAAAAUUGAUAAUUCAUACAUCAAUGAAAGUGUACAUGUGAUAUGAAUCUGUCAAGAAUACGUGUACAUUGAUGGUAACUAAACAAUUAAAUAAAUUAAAUAUAUGUUGAAAAAUGAAAAGUGAGGCAUUAUUGAAAUAAUUGUUCAUAACAAGUUAAAAUCAUCAAAUAAAUUAUUCUCACUUGAUGUGAUAUUUAUUAAAUGCUUUACAAGUACUAUAAAAAAAACUGAAUGUUAAUUAGCAUAUAUUGACGUGAAUGAUGAAAUGCACUUGAAAUUCUAAUUAAGUUUUAAUUAAUGAAAUUGAAAUACAUUAAUGAGGAUAAAUAUUAAUAAAGCCCCCGGUACCCAUUUUUUUCAAAAUGCAUUUUUUUCUCUCUUCUUUUUAUCCACACAUUUUUUAUUAAAAUAAUAUUAUAGGUAAAUAAAAAACUUUCCCUUAUUUUUCAAUCACAUACUUCCCAUCAAGUUACUAUUCUAAAAUGCACUUUUACCUAAAAAUGGCAAUUAAACACCCCCUAAAUGAAUGUUAAUUGAGAAUUAAAUAUACAUGUACAUUAAUGGUAACUAAAUAAUUAAGCCUCCAUUUGUCCUCAUUAAAUUACAUUUUUUUCUCUUCUAUUUUCAACUACAUAAUCUUUUAUAAAAUAAUAUUAUACGUAAAUCGAAAAAAUUUCCUUCCUUUUUAACCACUCAUUUUUUAAAAAAAAAAUACUAUUCCCCUCAUUUUCAUUUCACAAAAUGGGGAACAAACGGGGCUAAAUAAAUUAAAUACAUAGUAAAAAAAAAAAAAAAGGUAUUAUUGAAAUAAUUGAAUUACAGUAAGACUAUAAUUAGUUAAAAAAUAAUUCUCACUUGAUGUGAUAUUUAAUAUAUUAUAUAUUUAUUAAAUUGCAAAAAAAUAAAAAAAAUUCAAAUGCAAUUAUUUAGUGGAUAAACAUUCAAAGAAAAUUAUUGUUUGAAGAGUUUCAAGGCAAAAUUUGAAACUCCAAGGCGGAAUGAACCCAAACUUCUUUCCCUCAAUGAAUUUAAUUUAGUCAAAUCCAAAGUCAGAAUCGACCCGUUGAUUAAGGCAAGAUAUGUGAUUAAAAAUAAAAAAAAAAUAUGAAUCCCAAAAAAUAAAUUUUAAAUUUAAUUAAAAUAUUUAUCAAAAUUUAAAGCAAAUCUGAGGCUAAACUUUAUAUAAUUUAUUAUACUUUUCGUUACAAAUAGAACGAAAGAGCAACGGGGCGGUGGCUUGACAUUCAUCUGAAAGGAUAAAACUGUCCAACACGGAAAAUUUUGUCUGGAAAUAUCGUGGCAUGUUUUAGAUGCACCGCCCAACAAUCUCAUCGUACGACGACGUUUCUUCCUAAUUCACACCUCUUAAAUACUCGCCCUCAUUGGAUUCAUCCACGUGGCAACCUAUCAUUUUAUCUAGUAUUUUUUUUUUUUAAUUCUUUUAAAUCAUCGCCAACUUUCUAUAUAAACGUAGCCACACCUUACCAACAAUCAGCAAAACUGAUCAUACCUAUCAUCCUCUCUAAAUUUCCAAUACUUUCACUGCAAACUUGUUUACUCUCUUAGUUUUUAACGCCAAAAAUGGCUCCCAAUAACCAUGCAGAUGCAGCAUCCCGUGGUCUAGUUAAGGCCGCCAGUUUGUCUAGCCGAGCCUAUGUCACUUUCUUGGCAGGCGACGGCGACUAUGUGAAAGGAGUCGUGGGCUUGGCAAAGGGAUUGAGGAAAGUGAACGCUGCGUACCCACUUGUGGUGGCUGUUCUGCCGGACGUCCCAGAGGAGCACCGCAGCAUAUUGGUUAACCAGGGAUGCAUAGUGCGUGAUAUUGAACCGGUUUAUCCUCCUGAGAACCAGACCCAGUUCGCCAUGGCGUAUUAUGUCAUCAACUACUCCAAGCUUCGGAUUUGGGAGGUAAUAAUCCUGCAUAUUUUCAAGAAUCAAAUGAUUAUAUAUAAUGCAUGCACAGAAAACGUAUGAUGUUAUGCUCAAUUGAAUUUGUUUCUUAAUGCAGUUUGUGGAGUACAGCAAGAUGAUAUACUUGGAUGGAGACAUACAGGUUUUUGACAACAUAGAUCACCUCUUUGAUUUGCCAAAUGAGUAUUUCUAUGCUGUGAUGGACUGUUUUUGUGAGAAGACAUGGAGUCACACCCCACAAUUCAAGAUUGGGUAUUGCCAACAGUGCCCGGAUAAGGUCCAUUGGCCUCAAGAAUUGGGUCCUAAUCCUCCUCUCUAUUUCAAUGCUGGGAUGUUUGUCUUUGAACCAAGCCUCCCCACCUACCAUGAUCUCUUGCACAAACUCAAAAUCACAACUCCGACUUCAUUUGCUGAGCAGGUAAAACAACACAGUCAUUUAAUCAGAAAAUUCUAUGACAAGUAGUUGUAUGAAAUGAAAUUUGAAGUGUACUAAAUGUCACAUUUGCAGGAUUUCUUGAACAUGUUCUUCAGGGAUAUUUACAAGCCAAUUCCCAAUAAUUACAACUUGGUUUUGGCAAUGCUGUGGCGCCAUCCCGAGAACGUGAAGCUCGAUGAAGU
This 39993-nucleotide long non-coding RNA is filed under the name Olea europaea (common olive). RNAcentral's name for it is "long non-coding RNA (OEUR_LNC005770)". The record is from RNAcentral. Lineage: Eukaryota; Viridiplantae; Streptophyta; Magnoliopsida; Lamiales; Oleaceae.